Molecule: ribosomal RNA, 468 nt
Filed under: uncultured bacterium
Lineage: Bacteria
Description: partial 16S ribosomal RNA
Rfam family: Bacterial small subunit ribosomal RNA
Source: RNAcentral
GACGAACGCUGGCGGCGUGCUUAACACAUGCAAGUCGAACGGAAAGGCCCUGCUUUUGUGGGGUGCCCGAGUGGCGAACGGGUGAGUAACACGUGAGUAACCUGCCCUUGACUUUGGGAUAACUUCAGGAAACUGGGGCUAAUACCGGAUAGGAGCUCCUGCUGCAUGGUGGGGGUUGGAAAGUUUCGGCGGUUGGGGAUGGACUCGCGGCUUAUCAGCUUGUUGGUGGGGUAGUGGCUUACCAAGGCUUUGACGGGUAGCCGGCCUGAGAGGGUGACCGGCCACAUUGGGACUGAGAUACGGCCCAGACGCCUACGGGAGGCAGCAGUGGGGAAUAUUGCACAAUGGGCGGAAGCCUGAUGCAGCAACGCCGCGUGCGGGAUGACGGCCUUCGGGUUGUAAACCGCUUUCGCCUGUGACGAAGCGUGAGUGACGGUAAUGGGUAAAGAAGCACCGGCUAACUACGUG